Long non-coding RNA from Pseudophryne corroboree (corroboree frog), 885 nucleotides. RefSeq lists it as uncharacterized. The record is from RefSeq and is a predicted model, not a curated record. NCBI's taxonomy places the organism in Eukaryota, Metazoa, Chordata, Amphibia, Anura, Myobatrachidae. The transcript has 3 exons.
UCGCAGGAGUAGACUAGGCAGGUAGAGAACAGACAGGCAGGGGGCGUGGCCUAAUCACGGACCCCCCCCCCUGGCCACGCCCCUUAAACAACAAAAAAUCCUUACCAUGCAGCCUGCCCUGAAGGCACCAUCAGCCGUCCAGGCAAAGAGAACAGAGGACCAGACUAAAACACCCCUGGCUGGGGAUCAGCAAUUAGGUGCAGGGGAAGUGUUAGACUCAGGCCCCAGAGACGAAGGGACAGCACAGUGGUGAGACUACGGCUGUCUGAGACAGGCUGUCAGUGUGACUGGCAGUGCUGUACCGCUGCACAGCUCCUCGGGGUUGGCGGCAGCAGGGACGGGCUGGUGCAGCGUUAUGCGUAGUGACGCUGCAAUGCAGGCAACACAGGACCAGAUCAUACCAAGUGACGGGCAGCAUGGCCAUGGACGCGCCUCCAGGCGCCGGCGCGUCACUUCCGCUGAGACGCCGGAGACGACGGGCUGGACGCCGGGACGGCGCGGCCAGCGGCACACACUGGAGGGGAUGUUGCUAUGGGGGAAGCACCAGACAGUCUUGGGAAUACUGGAGUCGAAACAGCAGCCUCUAGCCAGACAGUCCUUGGAGCCGAUGUUGGGAUAUCCGCAGUCUUUCCUCAGCUUGGGCCUCACAGAGCAUCCUGCACACAACAGGAAACACAGCAAUGUCAUCAGAGGGUACAGCACUACACACACACAGAUGGUCACAGAGGGUCAGACACUCCCUGCCCAAUGACACUGACCUCCCCCCCGUGCUGUACCACUUCUAGCCAAAGGACCAACAGUGACAAUUUGUUACCCCGUGUCUCUGGCGCUGAACAAGUACUGUAAGUUCUGCAGAGCAGAGUAAAAGAAUUCUACAAAAAAGUU